This is a long non-coding RNA of Myotis daubentonii (Daubenton's bat), 1779 nucleotides long. RefSeq lists it as uncharacterized. Lineage: Eukaryota; Metazoa; Chordata; Mammalia; Chiroptera; Vespertilionidae. The record is from RefSeq and is a predicted model, not a curated record.
CCAGGAUUGGCUGCCCCUUCAUAACCAUAAGAUAAUUAAAACGAGGGGGGGGGCAGGGUUAAAAAAACUUUUUUAUCAGCCAGAGGUUAAUGCAAGUGUUUAACAGAUGCUUCAUUAUUAAAAUAUUUUUUCCCCCCAACUCUCAAAUAUUGAAGAAUCUCAGACCAGGGACACCAGCCCCUCCGAAGACCUUGGGCGAUUUCAAAGCGCAGGCACCUCGAUUCCCCGAAUUUGUGGUGUAGCGGGUCCCGGUGUUCCCCUGUUUUAACUAGCCUGUUUGCAAAUUGUAUACACGCCAGCAAUAUUUUCUUCCAAGCCGGGAGGAAAUCAUUCAACAUUCAGAGGAGGAAGUAAUUGCAAGUUUGCAUACAGGCUCUGUGGAAACAGAGCCCGAGGACGCAGCCAGACAACUGCGGGCCGGGCCGGGCCGGGCCGGGUCGCCUCCCCGGGGAUCGCAAGGCCUCAGCCCUCGAAGGACAGUGUGCGCCCCAGACUGAGAUGCGGGGCUGCAGCCACAGCCCGGGACCGUUAGGGUGCAGGGGGCGCCACCCCGCACUUUUAGGCCUCUGCGUUGGCUGCUGGGCCGCUCCUGGUUAACGUCUCCUUUUGAUGCCACCGCCGCCCAGGAGGCCGGUUCUCCGCCACUCAGGCCCAGGCGGGUCGCCGCUGCCGGGCGGGAGGGACCUCCCCCGGCGGCCCCCGGCGGAUCCCGGAGGACUGUUCGGCGGAGGCGGGCAGCAAGGGGUUAACCGCGUCCCUCCCCCACCGCGCCCGGCACGCGGGGCGAAGGCCGCCGCCUCCCUCCCGAGGUCUCAUUAGGGGAACCCUCACCGCUAUUUUCAACAUUUCCUCAAUCAAGUGCCUUUAAAUAGAGCUGCACAAAUAAAUUGGCGGCAAAAGCGUAGAUCUUGUCACGACCGCGACCAAUCCCAAUAUUUCAGCCGUGUUUGCUUUGCAAUUACGGGUUGGCUGGUGGCAGCGGUGCCACCGGGGCCAAUCUGCAGCCGCCCGGCUUCUCCUCGGCUCCCCGGGGCGGGUGCGGGCGGCCGGCGGCCCGGGGAGCCCCCGCGGGGGAACCGGGCGGCUCCGGGGGAGGGGCCGCGAGGGGGCGCGGGCGGCCGAGCUUCCCUCCGCCGCGCGCACAGGGCGCGCAGGGCGCUGGCCGAGGGAUCGGACCCCGCAGGCUCCCGCCGGAGCCGCGGAGGCGGCUUCACCAACAAUGAAAGCAGCAGCACGCACGUGGCCAUCGCGUCGCGUCCUUCCUGACCCUUUCCCUCCUCUCCCCGCUCUUCCCUCCCCGCUCUUCCCUCCCCGAGACCCGCUGCUCCGGUGUUUGUUAGCGGUUCCUGGACUUUCCUCCCGCCCCUCCCGCCCCCCCUCGCUGUUAAACUGCUAGCAUGAUUUGUUACAUUUUCCAUAGCUGCUUAUUCUGGUUUGACUUGGGGAACAAAGUCACUUUAAAUCCUCGGCAGGAAGAGCGAAGCUCCGAGCCCCUUGGAAGGGCUCCCGCGGGCGCGUGGCCGCCCCGGCCCCCCCGCCCCCGGCCCCCACGCGGCGGCGCGUCCGCGCGAAUCCGCCGCCGGACGCGGGCGGUCCCCGCGCAGCCAGCCGGGCGGUGGCCGCAGCACAGUAGUUCGCUGCAAUCAGGUCCUAAGCCUUGUAUUUCACAGACAAUUACAUCUUGGCGGCUGUUGAACAAAAAUGUAAUAUUUACUCUGCGCUACACCGAGGAGCACUUUCAAAGUCGCAAAACAAAAUACUACAUUUCAAAAAAGAAAA